Molecule: ribosomal RNA, 891 nt
Filed under: uncultured bacterium
Lineage: Bacteria
Description: bacterial SSU rRNA
Rfam family: Bacterial small subunit ribosomal RNA
Source: RNAcentral
GAUCCUGGCUCAGAAUCAACGCUGGCGGCGCGCCUAACACAUGCAAGUCGAACGGGAAAGUGGGGCAACCCAUGAGUAGAGUGGCGUACGGGUGAGUAACACGUGGAGAUCUACCUCUUAGUGGGGAAUAACCCAGGGAAACCGGGGCUAAUACCGCAUAAGCUCGGGAGAAGCAAUGCGCUGAGAGAGGAGUCCGCGGCCGAUUAGCUAGUUGGUAGGGUAAAAGCCUACCAAGGCAAAGAUCGGUAGCCGGCCUGAGAGGGCACACGGCCACACUGGCACUGAAACACGGGCCAGACUCCUACGGGAGGCAGCAGUGGGGAAUCUUGCACAAUGGGGGAAACCCUGAUGCAGCGACGCCGCGUGAGCGAUGAAGCCCUUCGGGGUGUAAAGCUCUUUCGGCAGGGAAGAUGAUGACGGUACCUGCAGAAGCAGCUGCGGCUAACUACGUGCCAGCAGCCGCGGUAAUACGUAGGCAGCAAGCGUUGUUCGGAGUUACUGGGCGUAAAGGGUGUGUAGGCGGUUGCUUAAGUUUGGUGUGAAAUCUCCCGGCUCAACUGGGAGGGUGCGCCGAAUACUGAGUGACUCGAGUGCGGGAGAGGAGAGUGGAAUUCCUGGUGUAGCGGUGAAAUGCGUAGAUAUCAGGAGGAACACCGGUGGUGUAGACGGCUCUCUGGACUGUAACUGACGCUGAGACACGAAAGCGUGGGUAGCAAACAGGAUUAGAUACCCUGGUAGUCCACGCCCUAAACGAUGCAUAUUUGGUGUGGGCAGUUCAUUCUGUCCGUGCCGGAGCUAACGCGUUAAAUAUGCCGCCUGGGGAGUACAGUCGCAAGGCUGAAACUCAAAGGAAUUGACGGGGGCCCGCACAAGCGGUGGAGCAUGUGGUUC